Phrynosoma platyrhinos (Desert horned lizard) is the source of this 72-nucleotide non-coding RNA. NCBI's taxonomy places the organism in Eukaryota, Metazoa, Chordata, Lepidosauria, Squamata, Phrynosomatidae. The record is from the annotation of a GenBank genome assembly.
UGCAGCAUGGCGUAGUGGUUUGAGUGUUGGACUAUGGCUCUAGAGAUCAGGUUUUGAAUCCCUGCUCGGCCA